Molecule: transfer RNA, 72 nt
Filed under: Bos taurus (domestic cattle)
Lineage: Eukaryota; Metazoa; Chordata; Mammalia; Artiodactyla; Bovidae
Also listed under: 3 other names
Rfam family: tRNA
About the family: Transfer RNA (tRNA) molecules are approximately 80 nucleotides in length. Their secondary structure includes four short double-helical elements and three loops (D, anti-codon, and T loops).
Source: Rfam by way of RNAcentral
UCCCCGUGGUCCAGUGGCUGGGACUCUGCACUUUCACUGCUGAGAGCCUGGGUUCAAUCCCUGGAUGGGGAA